Molecule: ribosomal RNA, 405 nt
Filed under: uncultured bacterium
Lineage: Bacteria
Description: partial 16S ribosomal RNA
Rfam family: Bacterial small subunit ribosomal RNA
Source: RNAcentral
AUUGAACGCUGGCGGCAGGCCUAACACAUGCAAGUCGAACGAGUGGCGGACGGGUGAGUAAUGUCUGGGAAACUGCCUGAUGGAGGGGGAUAACUACUGGAAACGGUAGCUAAUACCGCAUACCAUCAGAUGUGCCCAGAUGGGAUUAGCUAGUUGGUGGGGUAACGGCUCACCAAGGCGACGAUCCCUAGCUGGUCUGAGAGGAUGACCGGCCACACGGGAACUGAGAAACGGUCCAGACCCCUCGGGGGGGCAGAAGGGGGAAAUAUUGCAAAAGGGGGGCAAGCCUGAUGCAGCCAUGCCGGGUGUAUGAAGAAGGCCUUCGGGUUGUAAAGUACUUUCAGCGGGGAGGCGUUACCCGCAGAAGAAGCACCGGCUAACUCCGUGCCAGCAGCCGGGUAAUUC